UACGUAGGGCGCAAGCGUUAUCCGGAAUUAUUGGGCGUAAAGAGCUCGUAGGCGGUUUGUCGCGUCUGCUGUGAAAGACCGGGGCUCAACUCCGGUUCUGCAGUGGGUACGGGCAGACUAGAGUGCAGUAGGGGAGACUGGAAUUCCUGGUGUAGCGGUGAAAUGCGCAGAUAUCAGGAGGAACACCGAUGGCGAAGGCAGGUCUCUGGCUGUAACUGACGCUGAGGAGCGAAAGCAUGGGGAGCGAACAGG
This 252-nucleotide ribosomal RNA is filed under the name uncultured bacterium. RNAcentral's name for it is "partial 16S ribosomal RNA". It matches the Rfam family "Bacterial small subunit ribosomal RNA", at positions 524 to 776 of the family's 1533-position model. The record is from RNAcentral.